UGAGUGCGAGCUGCUACGGCAGCGAAGUUGGUGAUGUCAUGCUUCCAAGAAAAGCCCUAUACCCGUUAAGGCAUCAUGGCCUGUACCCGAAACCGACACAGGUGGGGUGGUAGAGAAUACCGAGGGGCGCGAGGUAACUCUCUCUAAGGAACUCGGCAAAAUGGCCCCGUAACUUCGGGAGAAGGGGUGCCACCGCAAGGUGGUCGCAGUGAAGAGGCCCAGGGGGCUGUUUACCAAAAACACAGGUCUCCGCUAAGUCGCAAGACGAUGUAUGGGGGCUGACGCCUGCCCAGUGCCGGAAGGUUAAGGAAGCUGGUCAGCGCAAGCGAAGCUAGCGACUGAAGCCCCGGUGAACGGCGGCCGUAACAAUAACGGUCCUAAGGUAGCGAAAUUCCUUGUCGGGUAAGUUCCGACCCGCACGAAAGGCGUAACGAUCUGGGCGCUGUCUCGGAGAGAGGCUCGGCGAAAUAGAAUUGUCUGUGAAGAUGCGGACUACGUGCACCCGGACAGAAAGACCCUAUGAAGCUUUACUGUAGCUUGGUAUUGUGCCCGGGCUCGCAAUGCGCAGGAUAGGUGGGAGGCUUUGAUCAUCGGCUUGCGGGUCGAUGUGAGCCAACGGUGAGAUACCACUCUUUGCGAGCUAGGGUUCUAACGGCCACCCGUCAUCCGGGGGCCGGACAGUACCUGGUGGGCAGUUUGACUGGGGCGGUCGCCUCCUAAAAGGUAACGGAGGCGCGCAAAGGUUUGCUCAGGCUGGUUGGAAAUCAGCCGACGAGUGUAAAAGCAGAAGCAAGCUUGACUGUGAGACCAACAAGUCGAACAGGGAGGAAACUCGGCUUUAGUGAUCCGACGGUUCUGAGUGGAAGGGCCGUCGCUCAACGGAUAAAAGUUACUCUAGGAUAACAGGCUGAUCUCCCCCAAGAGUUCACAUCGACGGGGAGGUUUGGCACCUCGAUGUCGGCUCAUCGCAACCUGGGGCUGAAGUCGGUCCCAAGGGUUGGGCUGUUCGCCCAUUAAUCGGUACGCGAGCUGGGUUCAGAACGUCGUGAGACAGUUCGGUCCAUAUCCGGUGCACGCGCAGGAAUAUUGAGAGGAUUUCUCCCUAGUACGAGAGGACCGGGAGGAACGCACCUCUGGUGUACCAGUUAUCGUGCCAACGGUAAACGCUGGGUAGCCAUGUGCGGAGUGGAUAACCGCUGAAAGCAUCUAAGUGGGAAGCCCACCUCAAGAUGAGUAUUCCCAUGGCGUAAGCCAGUAAGGUCACGGGAAGAACACCCGUUGAUAGGCUCUAUGUGGAAGCGCAGUAAUGCGUGAAGCAGAGGAGUACUAAUAGACCGAGGGCUUGACCAU
RNAcentral lists this ribosomal RNA (1350 nucleotides) under metagenome. RNAcentral describes it as "bacterial LSU rRNA". It matches the Rfam family "Bacterial large subunit ribosomal RNA", at positions 1564 to 2925 of the family's 2925-position model. The record is from RNAcentral.